GACGAACGCUGGCGGCGUGCCUAAUACAUGCAAGUUGAGCGAUGAAGAUUGGUGCUUGCACCAAUUUGAAGAGCAGCGAACGGGUGAGUAACGCGUGGGGAAUCUGCCUUUGAGCGGGGGACAACAUUUGGAAACGAAUGCUAAUACCGCAUAACAACUUUAAACAUAAGUUUUAAGUUUGAAAGAUGCAAUUGCAUCACUCAAAGAUGAUCCCGCGUUGUAUUAGCUAGUUGGUGAGGUAAAGGCUCACCAAGGCGAUGAUACAUAGCCGACCUGAGAGGGUGAUCGGCCACAUUGGGACUGAGACACGGCCCAAACUCCUACGGGAGGCAGCUGUAGGGAAUCUUCGGCAAUGGACGAAAGUCUGACCGAGCAACGCCGCGUGAGUGAAGAAGGUUUUCGGAUCGUAAAACUCUGUUGGUAGAGAAGAACGUUGGUGAGAGUGGAAAGCUCAUCAAGUGACGGUAACUACCCAGAAAGGGACGGCUAACUACGUG
RNAcentral lists this ribosomal RNA (497 nucleotides) under uncultured bacterium. RNAcentral describes it as "partial 16S ribosomal RNA". It matches the Rfam family "Bacterial small subunit ribosomal RNA", at positions 28 to 507 of the family's 1533-position model. The record is from RNAcentral.